ACGGGGUGCAGCAGGCGCGAAAACUUUGCAAUGUGCGAAAGCACGACAAGGUUAAUCCGAGUGGUUUCUGCUAAAGAAACCUUUUGUCAGUCCUAGAAACACUGAUGAAUAAGGGGUGGGCAAGUUCUGGUGUCAGCCGCCGCGGUAAAACCAGCACCUCAAGUGGUCAGGAUGAUUAUUGGGCCUAAAGCAUCCGUAGCUCGUUUUGUAAGUUUUCGGUUAAAUCCAUGCGCUUAACGUAUGGGCUGCCGGGAAUACUGCAUAACUAGGAAGUGGGAGAGGUAGACGGUACUCGGUAGGAAGGGGUAAAAUCCUUUGAUCUAUUGAUGACCACCUGUGGCGAAGGCGGUCUACCAGAACACGUUCGUCGGUGAGGGAUGAAAGCUGGGGGAGCAAACCGGAUUAGAUACCCGGGUAGUCCCAGCUGUAAACUAUGCAAACUCAGUGAUGCAUUGGCUUGUGGCUAAUGCAGUGCUGCAGGGAAGCCGUUAAGUUUGCCGCCUGGGAAGUACGUACGCAAGUAUGAAACUUAAAGGAAUUGGCGGGGGAGCAC
This 553-nucleotide ribosomal RNA is filed under the name uncultured Nitrososphaerota archaeon. RNAcentral describes it as "bacterial SSU rRNA". It matches the Rfam family "Archaeal small subunit ribosomal RNA", at positions 325 to 879 of the family's 1478-position model. Lineage: Archaea; Thermoproteati; Nitrososphaerota. The record is from RNAcentral.